This 429-nucleotide ribosomal RNA is filed under the name bacterium. RNAcentral describes it as "partial 16S ribosomal RNA". It matches the Rfam family "Bacterial small subunit ribosomal RNA", at positions 355 to 776 of the family's 1533-position model. The record is from RNAcentral.
UGGGGAAUCUUCCGCAAUGGACGAAAGUCUGACGGAGCAACGCCGCGUGAGUGAUGACGGCCUUCGGGUUGUAAAGCUCUGUUAAUCGGGACGAAUGGUUCUUGUGCAAAUAGUGCGAGGAUUUGACGGUACCGGAAUAGAAAGCCACGGCUAACUACGUGCCAGCAGCCGCGGUAAUAUGUAGGUGGCAAGCGUUGUCCGGAAUUAUUGUGCGUAAAGCGCGCGCAGGCGGAUUGGUCAGUCUGUCUUAAAAGUUCGGGGCUUAACCCCGUGAUGGGAUGGAAACUGCCAAUCUAGAGUAUCGGAGAGGAAAGUGGAAUUCCUAGUGUAGCGGUGAAAUGCGUAGAUAUUAGGAAGAACACCAGUGGCGAAGGCGACUUUCUGGACGAAAACUGACGCUGAGGCGCGAAAGCCAGGGGAGCGAACGGG